This 307-nucleotide unclassified non-coding RNA is filed under the name plant metagenome. RNAcentral describes it as "partial contains 5.8S ribosomal RNA, internal transcribed spacer 2, and large subunit ribosomal RNA". The stretch from base 1 to 105 matches the Rfam family "5.8S ribosomal RNA", at positions 50 to 154 of the family's 154-position model. The record is from RNAcentral.
GAAAUGCGAUAAGUAGUGUGAAUUGCAGAAUUCAGUGAAUCAUCGAAUCUUUGAACGCACAUUGCGCCCUUUGGUAUUCCAAAGGGCAUGCCUGUUCGAGCGUCAUUUGUACCCUCAAGCUUUGCUUGGUGUUGGGUGUCUUGUCUCUAGCUUUGCUGGAGACUCGCCUUAAAGUAAUUGGCAGCCGGCCUACUGGUUUCGGAGCGCAGCACAAGUCGCACUCUCUAUCAGCAAAGGUCUAGCAUCCAUUAAGCCUUUUUUCACCUUUUGACCUCGGAUCAGGUAGGGAUACCCGCUGAACUUAAGC